This 437-nucleotide ribosomal RNA is filed under the name uncultured Bacteroidota bacterium. RNAcentral's name for it is "bacterial SSU rRNA". It matches the Rfam family "Bacterial small subunit ribosomal RNA", at positions 35 to 466 of the family's 1533-position model. Lineage: Bacteria; Pseudomonadati; Bacteroidota. The record is from RNAcentral.
GCUAGCGGCAGGCUUAACACAUGCAAGUCGAACGGCAGCACAGGUAGCAAUACUGGGUGGCGAGUGGCGCACGGGUGCGUAACGCGUAUGCAACCUACCUUUUACAGGGGGAUAGCCCGAAGAAAUUCGGAUUAAUACCCCAUAAAAUAUUUACCUCGCAUGGGGUUGAAUAUUAAAGUACCAACGGUAAGAGAUGGGCAUGCGUGACAUUAGAUAGUUGGUGAGGUAACGGCUCACCAAGUCAACGAUGUCUAGGGGGUCUGAGAGGAUUAUCCCCCACACUGGUACUGAGACACGGACCAGACUCCUACGGGAGGCAGCAGUGAGGAAUAUUGGUCAAUGGACGCAAGUCUGAACCAGCCAUGCCGCGUGCAGGAAGACGGCCCUACGGGUUGUAAACUGCUUUUAUAUAGGAAUAAACCCUCGAACGUGUUCGA